UACCAGGCAAGUCGAACGGCAGCGCGGGGCAACCUGGCGGCGAGUGGCGAACGGGUGAGUAAUAUAUCGGAACGUACCCAGAAGUGGGGGAUAACGUAGCGAAAGUUACGCUAAUACCGCAUACGAUCUACGGAUGAAAGUGGGGGACCUUCGGGCCUCAUGCUUUUGGAGCGGCCGAUAUCUGAUUAGCUAGUUGGUGAGGUAAAGGCCUACCAAGGCGACGAUCAGUAGCUGGUCUGAGAGGACGACCAGCCACACUGGGACUGAGACACGGCCCAGACUCCUACGGGAGGCAGCAGUGGGGAAUUUUGGACAAUGGGCGCAAGCCUGAUCCAGCAAUGCCGCGUGAGUGAAGAAGGCCUUCGGGUUGUAAAGCUCUUUUGUCAGGGAAGAAACGGCUCUAGCUAAUAUCUGGGGCUAAUGACGGUACCUGAAGAAUAAGCACCGGCUAACUACGUGCCAGCAGCCGCGGUAAUACGUAGGGUGCAAGCGUUAAUCGGAAUUACUGGGCGUAAAGCGUGCGCAGGCGGUUUUGUAAGUCUGACGUGAAAUCCCCGGGCUCAACCUGGGAAUUGCGUUGGAGACUGCAAGGCUGGAGUCUGGCAGAGGGGGGUAGAAUUCCACGUGUAGCAGUGAAAUGCGUAGAGAUGUGGAGGAACACCGAUGGCGAAGGCAGCCCCCUGGGUCAAGACUGACGCUCAUGCACGAAAGCGUGGGGAGCAAACAGGAUUAGAUACCCUGGUAGUCCACGCCCUAAACGAUGUCUACUAGUUGUCGGGUUUUAAUUAACUUGGUAACGCAGCUAACGCGUGAAGUAGACCGCCUGGGGGAGUACGGUCGCAAGAUUAAAACUCAAAGGAAUUGACGGGGACCCGCACAAGCGGUGGAUGAUGUGGAUUAAUUCGAUGCAACGCGAAAAACCUUACCUACCCUUGACAUGAAAGGAAUCCCGGAGAGAUCUGGGAGUGCCCGAAAGGGAACCUUCACACAGGUGCUGCAUGCUGUCGUCAGCUCGUGUCGUGAGAUGUUGGGUUAAGUCCCGCAACGAGCGCAACCCUUGUCAUUAGUUGCUACGC
Molecule: ribosomal RNA, 1076 nt
Filed under: Massilia sp. MJAU D0060
Lineage: Bacteria; Pseudomonadati; Pseudomonadota; Betaproteobacteria; Burkholderiales; Oxalobacteraceae
Also listed under: 1 other name
Description: bacterial SSU rRNA
Rfam family: Bacterial small subunit ribosomal RNA
Source: RNAcentral